Molecule: ribosomal RNA, 468 nt
Filed under: uncultured bacterium
Lineage: Bacteria
Description: partial 16S ribosomal RNA
Rfam family: Bacterial small subunit ribosomal RNA
Source: RNAcentral
GACGAACGCUGGCGGCGUGCUUAACACAUGCAAGUCGAACGGAAAGGCCCUGCUUUUGUGGGGUGCUCGAGUGGCGAACGGGUGAGUAACACGUGAGUAACCUGCCCUUGACUUUGGGAUAACUUCAGGAAACUGGGGCUAAUACCGGAUAGGAGCUCCUGCUGCAUGGUGGGGGUUGGAAAGUUUCGGCGGUUGGGGAUGGACUCGCGGCUUAUCCGCUUGUUGGUGGGGUAGUGGCUUACAAAGGCUUUGACGGGUAGCCGGCCUGAGAGGGUGACCGGCCACAUUGGGACUGAGAUACGGCCCAGACUCCUACGGGAGGCAGCAGUGGGGAAUAUUGCACAAUGGGCGGAAGCCUGAUGCAGCAACGCCGCGUGCGGGAUGACGGCCUUCGGGUUGUAAACCGCUUUCGCCUGUGACGAAGCGUGAGUGACGGUAAUGGGUAAAGAAGCACCGGCUAACUACGUG